CAAACAAUCACAUCCUCAAGAUGACCGAGACUGGACCUUGAGGACCAACCCGUGUCACCACUGGGGUUUUCCGGGAACACCCUGGCCCGCAGCUCGAGCCGCGGCCAACACACCUGGCAAGCAAAUGCUUCGAGACCAUUUGCCGAAGUCCCUUUACCUUCCCGUGAUAGAGCACUCUUUGCCCAAACAUCCCACCUGUCAAAGCUCAUGCUCCUUGGAACCUGGAUUCUGCACCAUGCCUGGGUGUCCUUGGAAUGACCCCAGUUUCAUGCACAAGGAAAGUAAGGCUCAGCAAAGUUGAGUAACUCGUCCAAGUUGGCGCAGCUCCUGAGUGCCGGGGCUCACAUCCCAUCCCUGCUCUACUGACCAGAGAACCCGGUGCGCUCCUCGCAGACCCCGCAGACGGAAUGUUUGAGUCCCUCCCUUCAAGUCUGUGUGUUGAAACACGAACCCCAGUGUGAUGGUAUUUGCAGGCGAGGUCUUCAGGAAGUGACUAGGUGACAAAGGGACUAGCGACCUGAUAAAGGGGACCCCAGAGAGUUCCCUCACCCCUUCCGCCAUGCGAAGACCCAGCGGGAAGACCUCAUCUGUGAACCCAGAUGCAGCUCCCACCAGACACCCCAUCUGCAGGCACCUUGACCUUGGACUCCCAGCCUCCAGCACGUGAGAAAUUAGUGUUUGCUGUGUCAGCCCCCACAGCCCAGUCUGUGGUAUUUUGGUGUAGCGGCCUGAACGGAUUAAGAUAACUCCCCGGGUAGAGCUGAACUCCUUAUCCUCCCAGAAACACAUGGAAUAAGGCAACCUUCUUGUGUAGAAAUGUCUACGGCUUUCCAUGAAAUGGUGACAAAAUCGCCGGAUUAGAAGCUGCCAGGUGGAGGUGUUCAGAGGACCACCUGUUGAUUUCCUGGUUUCUCAAGAUGCCACCCCUUCCUCUGUGCAUAUGGGUAUGUUACUUAUCAGCAGCUCAGGUUCCCUCUAUGCGGUGUUAGGACUUCUGCCUGCCUUUUCUCUUAGGUAUCC
Molecule: long non-coding RNA, 1020 nt
Organism: Neogale vison (American mink)
Lineage: Eukaryota; Metazoa; Chordata; Mammalia; Carnivora; Mustelidae
Exons: 3
Source: RefSeq, a predicted model, not a curated record